This 29-nucleotide non-coding RNA is filed under the name Mus musculus (house mouse). The record is from RNAcentral. Lineage: Eukaryota; Metazoa; Chordata; Mammalia; Rodentia; Muridae.
UGUUAGGAUGGUUUGGUAUUUCCCAAAGU